Molecule: ribosomal RNA, 484 nt
Filed under: uncultured bacterium
Lineage: Bacteria
Description: partial 16S ribosomal RNA
Rfam family: Bacterial small subunit ribosomal RNA
Source: RNAcentral
AUUGAACGCUGGCGGCAGGCCUAACACAUGCAAGUCGAGCGGAUGAAGGGAGCUUGCUCCUGGAUUCAGCGGCGGACGGGUGAGUAAUGCCUAGGAAUCUGCCUGGUAGUGGGGGAUAACGUCCGGAAACGGGCGCUAAUACCGCAUACGUCCUGAGGGAGAAAGUGGGGGAUCUUCGGACCUCACGCUAUCAGAUGAGCCUAGGUUGGAUUAGCUAGUUGGUGGGGUAAAGGCCUACCAAGGCGACGAUCCGUAACUGGUCUGAGAGGAUGAUCAGUCACACUGGAACUGGGACACGGUCCAGACUCCUACGGGAGGCAGCAGUGGGGAAUAUUGGACAAUGGGCGAAAGCCUGAUCCAGCCAUGCCGCGUGUGUGAAGAAGGUCUUCGGAUUGUAAAGCACUUUAAGUUGGGAGGAAGGGCAGUAAGUUAAUACCUUGCUGGUUUGACGUUACCAACAGAAUAAGCACCGGCUAACUUCGUG